CGGCACUACUGUACCUACAGUGUCAGAUUAUGUUCAGACUGAGGGUGACCCCCUCCCCUGCUGGCCUAAACUGCAUGGUAUGCUUGUGCUUGUUGGGUGACCCCCUCUUGCACGCUGGGUGACCCCCAGCUGGCCGCACCACUGUACCUACAGUGUCCGAUUAUGUUCAGACUGAGGGUGACCCCCUCCCCUGCUGGCCUAAACUGCAUGGUAUGCUUGUGCUUGUUGGGUGACCCCCUCUUGCACGCUGGGUGACCCCCAGCUGGCCGCACCACUGUACCUACAGUGUCCGAUUAU
This is a non-coding RNA of Pelobates cultripes (western spadefoot toad), 297 nucleotides long. The record is from the annotation of a GenBank genome assembly. Lineage: Eukaryota; Metazoa; Chordata; Amphibia; Anura; Pelobatidae.